CACAACAUGUCUGACAUCCGUUCGAAACGCCAUUUUGUUCCGGAUUGAUAAUAUUUUGUCGUGGUACAAACUAGCUAUACACCGUUAAAUUGAACUCUUCUAACGAGGGAGAUGAUAUAGGAAUAGUCACCAAAACGCUUAUAAGUAUGUCAAUUUUCUUCCUGUUUAAAGCUUUCAACUAACAUUGAUUAUCAGCUGUUUUGUACGGAAAACGUGGAAUUUAAAUAAUUUACUGUUUCACCGCUAUUGGCAAUACAUUUUAGUCAUGUCAUCUGCAACAGACGAUCAUAUAUUUGUGACGGAUUAUCGAUAUAGAUAAAGCUAGGUACAUGUAGCAAUAGCAGUGGAAGCCCGUAUUUGCAAGCCAGUUGAGGGAAGGACAGAAUUCUGAAAAAGAGCAUGUUUUUCAUUUCCACACGUACAUGUGUAUCACUAUCAUAUGGACAUCUGAUAUUUUUGUGGGAUUUUGUCCAGCAGUUUGCCUUAAAAGAAUUUUUUUAUAUUUAAGUUUCAUAUUUAUGUGGAUUCCAAUAAAAAUCAUACAAACUUCAUUCAUGAUGAUUUUGUCUUUUAUUUCUAAACUUAAUGACAUUUCACUUUCAUAAGAAUUUUAAAACAGAAAUGUUUAAAAAUAUGAUAGAUAAGGGGUUAUCUGGAACCAGACUGAUAUUUUAAAAAUUCUCUAGAAAAUAGAGUAUUGUAUUUUGAGGUCUAUUAUUGUUCAAUAUUGUGCCUAGUAUUAGUAACAAAUGCAUGCAACAAAAAUCUCCUACACUUAUUUGGUGUAGAGAUCCACCUUAAAUGUAAC
Molecule: long non-coding RNA, 808 nt
Organism: Magallana angulata
Lineage: Eukaryota; Metazoa; Mollusca; Bivalvia; Ostreida; Ostreidae
Exons: 3
Source: RefSeq, a predicted model, not a curated record